AUUUUUUUGUAGUUCAUAAGCAUGAUGGUUGGGUGUUCACUUGCAUGCAUUGAGAUGUCCAUCCCUCAAACCUUGUCACGACCUCUGCAUAUUACCCAUCUGACA
Molecule: small nucleolar RNA, 105 nt
Organism: Nycticebus coucang (slow loris)
Lineage: Eukaryota; Metazoa; Chordata; Mammalia; Primates; Lorisidae
Product: small nucleolar RNA U13
Exons: 1
Source: RefSeq, a predicted model, not a curated record